RNAcentral lists this long non-coding RNA (709 nucleotides) under Trifolium pratense (red clover). RNAcentral's name for it is "long non-coding RNA (TPRA_LNC001665)". The record is from RNAcentral. Lineage: Eukaryota; Viridiplantae; Streptophyta; Magnoliopsida; Fabales; Fabaceae.
GGUGUUUGAGGUGCCAAAUUUUGGGAUGUUUGAAAUUAAUUUUCUGUGGUCUUUUUUGUGCUGCAAUGACAAUUAGCAAGAUAUAUUGAGAGAACCCUUUCCCUGUUGUUAGUUUGUACACUUUUCUUAGUUUCUAAAUUUUUGGAUGCUUAUUAAAUCUACAAAAUAGUUUAUAUACUCUGAUGGAACUUGUUGAAAUGAGUGUGAAUACCACCCUUUUCAAUAAAAAUAAAAAAAAACUGGAAAAAUUAAUAUUAACUUGUCUUUGGUGGUGACAGAAAUUCAAAUAAUGGUGGUAAACUCAAAUUCAAGAUUUUUUGUAAAAACAUUGUUGGGUUGUCAAGCACUUGCAAUGAGUGAACUUUACAACUUUGCAUACACACAAAAAAUGGUACUACUAUUUAGCAUAAAAUCAAAGAAUUUUGCAUGAUCAUGGUGAGUUUGCAUCACAUCACUUUGGUGAUGAAAGCUAUAUUGAACAUCAAAGUAAGCACAUGUAAAAAAAUUAUAGUGGACACGUGGUUAAGUCUUUUGUUCGUUCGGCUUUGACUUGGGCAUUGGUAAAUUAGACGUAAAUUACAUUGUAAAUUUUCAACAAAAUGUACUUUAGUCAAAAAGAAAGAAAAAUGUACAUUAGUCAACUUGCGGGACACAUAAGAGUUUUUUUCUCCUAUCGAAUGUUUCAUUUAAAUGAUCAGCUCAAUUUUUU